UACAGAGGUCUCAAGCGUUGUUCGGAUUCAUUGGGCGUAAAGGGUGCGUAGGCGGCGCGGUAAGUCGGGUGUGAAAUCUCGGAGCUUAACUCCGAAACUGCAUUCGAUACUGCCGUGCUUGAGGACUGGAGAGGAGACUGGAAUUCAUGGUGUAGCAGUGAAAUGCGUAGAGAUCAUGAGGAAGACCAGUGGCGAAGGCGGGUCUCUGGACAGUUCCUGACGCUGAGGCACGAAGGCCAGGGGAGCAAACGGG
This 253-nucleotide ribosomal RNA is filed under the name uncultured bacterium. RNAcentral's name for it is "partial 16S ribosomal RNA". It matches the Rfam family "Bacterial small subunit ribosomal RNA", at positions 524 to 776 of the family's 1533-position model. The record is from RNAcentral.